This is an RNA transcript of Patella vulgata (common limpet), 3474 nucleotides long. RefSeq lists it as uncharacterized. NCBI's taxonomy places the organism in Eukaryota, Metazoa, Mollusca, Gastropoda, Patellidae. The record is from RefSeq and is a predicted model, not a curated record. The transcript has 5 exons.
UAAAAUAGCUGUAACACCGCUGGCAUAAAGUUCUAAUGCGUUUUAUUUGAUGUUUCGUAUGUGUGCUUAACAUUAAGCUAAAAAUAUUCAUGAAUGAUUGUUUGUUCAAGUACAUUAGAUUGACGUUUAGCAUCUCACUCCAUCCACCACUGUAUUGAGUUAAUCGGUAAAAGGUCUGGUUAUUCGAUACGAAACUAAAAGCACAAUAUUCAACAAGUACCGUGGUUGGCAAUGGACCAACAGGCGAUUCCGCUUGCUGACAAACCGUGCCUGAUUACUUAGAGAGAGAAGCAGGACUGGCCGUGAAUAGUUUUUCUAUAUUCAGGAGUCAGGGAGACUGGUUUUAUAUAAGAGAGAUAUAUACAAUGAUAUUGCUUCGUUAAAAGCGUCUGGAAUUGAUGGCUUCGAGCAGACGACAGCAAAUAACAACACUAUUCAUAGACUAGCCGACACGUUGUAAGUUUCCAGACAGUUAUAAAGAACUGUCGUGAUAUGUAGCACAGGAUUACUAUAGGUGAAGACAGCGUUGUGGAUUAUUGAUAUAAGUGUUCAAUAGAUUAUACAUUACGAGUUUGCUUCAGAAAUGGUGAUAUAAUUGUGAGGUGAUGUUCCAGUUACUUCGGCUGUAAUUUUGAUUUGUCGUGUAAAGUUAGCAUUAAAUAUGGCGCCUACUGUGGCUAUAGAAACGGUUAUUAUUGUCAGACCUUUAAAGGUGAUUGCUGUAUUAUGUGGCUGUGUGGCCUUAUUUCUUAUGAUGCUGUCUAUUGCUGCUACAACAUGGUUGGAAGCAGACGGUAGACGUGAAGGAUUAUGGGAACUGUGCCGUAGAACAGAUACAGAUGGUAUGGAGAUCGAAUGUAUCAAAAAUCAACCUAGAGGAAUAAGUAAGUAUAAUAUGCUAUGAUUUAGGUUCGUUAGAUAAAUGUGCAAUUCAUUACAUGUAGAUCUAGAUUAUUAUAUUUGUCUUAGAAAUAGAAUAGAAUACAAUUCGAUAAAUAUGUAUGGUAUCGUUUAAUACUCAUCUAAGAGGUAAACAUUUUCUCAAAUAUAAUUUUGAGUACAAUAUCUUAUUCAUAUUAUUCUCUAACAGCAAUAUACGAGAUGUCAUAAUAUUUUUGAGUAUAUAAUUUUGACUAUAAGCUAUAGUAAUAGCAUGUAAAUCAAAUGGUACAGUUUGUAUACAAUAAGCUUGGCUGUUAGAACCUAGUUUUAUUUGCUAUCGGCUAUGUGAGUUGGCUGUCCAUGUAGUCUAAGGUGUGCGUUUGAGAUCACAAGGUCCGCGAUUAAGUCAAUUCUUGGGAUGCGCGUGAUGAGCCACAGGAGCAAGGUGAUCGGUUGUAAUGUUCUCAAUUUAGUGUCCUUGACCCAGGUUCCGGUGGAUUAUGAUCUUCCAGUGAACGCCACACAAUACAUCAUUCAUUGAGCAAGACUACAUGGUUUUGGUGGGGAGGAUAACGAUACAAUUCCAGUUUUGAAUGUCCAUACCCUCCAUAAUAUUUCGAGUGAACUUGGAAAUUGUCUACAAAGUUUUUUUUAUUGUUGAUUUUAGUAGCCUAUGGUAUUCUUUUUCAGAAUCUGCCAGGUGAACCUCGGUCACCCUUGAGCGUUUUGAGAAAUUGAAGAUGGCGUCCAAGUCGGCCGCCAUUUCAAAUAAUCCCCUAUAACGCCCAUAUAUUUAUUCUAGGAUGAUAAUUUGGGGGUCUAAACGUAUGUACCUGGGGCCAAGGAAUACACUGAAACCAUUCAUUAUGUUGUGGGGUGAUUAGAUGAUAGUAAAAUCUAAAAUGCCAGACAUUAUGGCCCCUUAACUCAGUAGCUGUAGUUGAGGGCCAUUAUUUCACCAAAUAAGACUAAGACUAGAGAAAAACUAUAUAUUUCUGGAUAAACGAGCAUAUGAGUGAUACGAUAACACGACAUACAUGCCUAUCAGGGGCUCCAGGGCCACAUGGGCCGGCACUGAAAAGGGGGCGGGGGCACAAACUUUUUUUUUAACAUUUAAAAAAACAAAAUCUACCCACAAAGCCAAACACGAAAAUAACCCCGACAAGAUUUGGCAAUAUUCAGUUUAAUCCUUUGUCGUGUUUCUGGCUGCAACCUACGACAGCACAAGCGCAAGAUACUGUACAUUCUAAGCCAUCCCAAGUGCAUCUAAAAGCAAGCGUGCUGCAUGGGGUGUCACUCUUGCAUCCGCAUCUGAUGAGCAAGUUGGCCGGUUGUAAUCUCAAUUUAGUAUCCUUCGCCCAGCAAUAAAAUUAUGGAUCAAGUUCCGACGGAUUACCAUCUUUCAGUGAAUUGUUGCCUACGCGCACACGAAUUAUUGAAAUAGAGAUGUAUCUAUAUUUUUGUCUUGAGAAGAAAUAUGCAUUUUGUUGACAAAUGUGUCUCCGUUGUGGCAAUGCUUUGUUCUGAUACAUUUCUUUUAUUAUUAGUGUUGAUUAAGCAAUCAUUUAGAAUAGUGGUUCCAGCUAUUGUGAAUCUUUUUUAAUAUUUUUGUUAUAACACUUUGUGCCUUAAUACGUUUGUCUUUUAAGGGACGUUGUUUUUAGUAUAUGGGUAUUAUGAGCAAUAACCGCUUUCAGAAAUUAAAAUGGUAAUGUUCAAAUGGGUAUUAGAAAUCUCACAAUUUAUUCAUUUAGCAGAAUAAUACCCAUCUGGGACCACGGUGACUCAGUGAGUAAGGCGCACUAACAAGACGGUCGCGGUUUUGAUCCUGGUGCUAGCUGAUGAAGUUCGUCGGUAGUUCGUAUGGGACAGAGGUUCCGUUUACACGUAAGAAAAAAUGGAAAUUGGAAUUCGAUGAAAAGUAAGCGGAAAUGCCGCUGUCCGGACAAAUAUACCCUCAUGCGUACUACACUACAUGGUCUAUGUUCAUCUUCAUUAGCCCGGUUGGUGCAGAAAAGUAGGACGUUAAACCCUAUUACAUUUCACUCUAGAAAAAAAAAACACAUUUUUUUUUAUAUCUCAAAAUGUUACCCAUAUUGCAACAAGACUACGUUCCUUUGAAAUCGAUUUAAUAGAAUUAGUUUUGGGGUAGAUCACUCUCAGAGAUUAUUGUUGUUUUCGUCGAAUAUAAUUAUUGAUUAUAGGCGACGGAAACAAAAGAAAGAUUCAAUUAAAAAUAUUUUAUGCUUAUGGAAAUUUAUGAUCAAAGAGAUCAUUCUGGUUUUUUGUUGGGUUUUUCUUUCAGCGUGGAUAGAAGCUUGUCGAGCUCUAUGCUUGAUGGCAUUAGCUGUUUGUCUUUGUGCUGUUAUUGUGGCCUGUGUUGGUUUAAAUACUGAACGUUUUAGAUGGAAAUAUCAUUAUUAUAAAGCAGCCAUGAUCAUUAUGUUUAUAGCAGUAACCUUGCAAGCCAUAUCACUUAUUAUUUUUCCUGUCAAAUUCCUUGAAGAGAUAACUAAAAAAGAGGAAGUGAGAUGGGAGUUUGGGUGGGCGUAUGGUAUAGGUUGGGGCUCCGCCAUCUUUAUGUUAGGCGCC